UACGUAGGGUGCGAGCGUUAAUCGGAUUUACUGGGCGUAAAGCGUGCGCAGGCGGCCCGUUAAGACAGGUGUGAAAUCCCUGGGCUCAACCUAGGAAUUGCGCUUGUGACUGGCGGGCUCGAGUACGGUAGAGGGGGGUGGAAUUCCUGGUGUAGCAGUGAAAUGCGUAGAGAUCAGGAGGAACACCGAUGGCGAAGGCAGCCCCCUGGGCCUGUACUGACGCUGAGGCGCGAAAGCGUGGGGAGCAAACAGG
Molecule: ribosomal RNA, 253 nt
Filed under: uncultured microorganism
Description: partial 16S ribosomal RNA
Rfam family: Bacterial small subunit ribosomal RNA
Source: RNAcentral